RNAcentral lists this ribosomal RNA (371 nucleotides) under uncultured bacterium. RNAcentral's name for it is "bacterial SSU rRNA". It matches the Rfam family "Bacterial small subunit ribosomal RNA", at positions 28 to 395 of the family's 1533-position model. The record is from RNAcentral.
GACGAACGCUGGCGGCGCGCUUAACACAUGCAAGUCGAGCGGUAAGGCCCUUUCGGGGGUACACGAGCGGCGAACGGGUGAGUAACACGUGGGUGACCUGCCCUCAGCUCUGGGAUAAGCCUGGGAAACGUGGGUCUAAUACUGGAUAUGACUCCACGGUGCAUGUCGUGGGGUGGAAAGCCUUGUGCGGCUGAGGAUGGGCCCGCGGCCUAUCAGCUUGUUGGUGGGGUGANGGCCUACCAAGGCGACGACGGGUAGCCGGCCUGAGAGGGCGACCGGCCACACUGGGACUGAGACACGGCCCCAGACUCCUACGGGGAGGCAGCAGUGGGGGAAUCUUGCGACAAUGGGCGAAAGCCUGACGCAGCGAC